RNAcentral lists this transfer RNA (77 nucleotides) under Candidatus Cloacimonadota bacterium. RNAcentral's name for it is "Candidatus Cloacimonetes bacterium tRNA-Thr". It matches the Rfam family "tRNA". Rfam says of the family: Transfer RNA (tRNA) molecules are approximately 80 nucleotides in length. Their secondary structure includes four short double-helical elements and three loops (D, anti-codon, and T loops). The record is from RNAcentral. Lineage: Bacteria; Pseudomonadati; Candidatus Cloacimonadota.
GCCGGGAUAGCUUCAGCUGGCAGAGCAACUGAUUCGUAAUCAGUAGGUCGAGGGUUCGAGUCCCUUUCCCGGCUCCA